GGCGCGGGCCGCUGCGCCCGCCUCACGGCGUGGCGCGGCGACCGCUCCAUCCUCGCGCGGAAGGCGCGGGCCUUCACUGGUCCGCGUCGGACGCGCGUCCUUUACUGUGAACAAAUUAGAGUGUUUAAAGCAGGCUUCCCGCUUGAAUACAUUAGCAUGGAAUAAUGAGAUAGGACUUCGGUGCUAUUUUGUUGGUUGCGUACCGAGGUA
This 210-nucleotide ribosomal RNA is filed under the name uncultured fungus. RNAcentral's name for it is "partial small subunit ribosomal RNA". The stretch from base 101 to 210 matches the Rfam family "Eukaryotic small subunit ribosomal RNA", at positions 751 to 864 of the family's 1831-position model. Lineage: Eukaryota; Fungi. The record is from RNAcentral.